RNAcentral lists this long non-coding RNA (1212 nucleotides) under Numida meleagris (helmeted guineafowl). RNAcentral describes it as "lncRNA (ENSNMEG00000002521.1)". The record is from RNAcentral. Lineage: Eukaryota; Metazoa; Chordata; Aves; Galliformes; Numididae.
CGCUGCAGGAGGAGCUGAGCGCCCUGCAGGCCGGCCAGGCGGCCCAGUGGGGACAGAUGGAACGCGACUUGGCCACCGCCAGGACCCAGGAGGCCACGGCCACCACCAGGGCCACGGUGCUGCAGGACGAGCUGGACGCCUGGAGGGAAACGGUGGCCGAGCUGUGGGGCCAGGUGGCCACGGUGCAGGACCAGGUGGCCACGAUGAGGGACCAGGUGGCCACGGUGCACGACCAGGUGGCCACGGUGCAGGAGGAAGUGGCCACGGUGCAGGACCAGGUGGCCAUGGUGCGGGUGGAGGUGGCCACGGUGAGAGGACAGGCGGCCGCGUGGCAUGAGGAGGUGGCCACGGUGCAGGACCCGGUGGCCACGUGGCACGAGGAAGCAGUGAGAGGAGACGUGGCCGUGGUGAGAGGAGAGGUGGCCACGUGGCACAAGGAGGUGGCCACGGUACAAGACCAGGUGGCCACGUGGCACAGGGAAGUGGCCACGGUGCAGGACCAUGUGGCCACAGUGCAGGAUGAGGUGGCCACAGUGCAGGACCAGGUGGCCACGGUGCAGGAGGAGGUGGCCACGUGGCACGAGGAAGUGGCCACAGUGAGAGGACAGGUGGCCACGUGGAACAAGGAGGUGGCCACGGUGCAAGACCAGGUGGCCACGGUGAGAGGACAGGUGGCCACGUGGCACAGGGAGGUGGCCACGGUGCAGGGCCAGGUGGCCACGUGGCACGAGGAGGUGGCCAUGGUGCGAUGGGAUGGUGGCCAUGGGAUGGUGGCCUUGGGGUGACACGGUGGUGGCCAUGGGAGGACAUGGUGGUGGCCUUGGGGUGACAUGGUGGCCAUGGGGUGGUAAAGUGGUGGCCAUAGAGGGACACUGUGGUGGCCUUGGGGUGACAUGGUGGUGGCCUUGGGGUGACAUGGUGGUGGCCGUGGGGUGACAUGGUGGUGGCAGUGGGGUGAAACUCUGGUGGCCUUGGGGUGACAGGGUGGGGAGGUGACAAUGGGAGGAGGUGACAAGGGGAGGAGGUGGCACUGUGGGGUGGUGACACUGUGGGGUGGGUGACGUGGGAGGAGGUGACACAGGGGACAGUGACAUGGUGGGGAGGUGACACUGGGGAAGGUGACCCGGGGGGGAAGGUGACACUGGGGGACAGUGACACUGUAGGGUUGGUGACAAUGGGAGGAGGUGACACCGUGGGAUGGUGACACCGGGG